This 76-nucleotide transfer RNA is filed under the name bacterium. Its description in RNAcentral is "tRNA-Glu". It matches the Rfam family "tRNA". Rfam says of the family: Transfer RNA (tRNA) molecules are approximately 80 nucleotides in length. Their secondary structure includes four short double-helical elements and three loops (D, anti-codon, and T loops). Further hydrogen bonds mediate the characteristic L-shaped molecular structure. tRNAs have two regions of fundamental functional importance: the anti-codon, which is responsible for specific mRNA codon recognition, and the 3' end, to which the tRNAs corresponding amino acid is attached (by aminoacyl-tRNA synthetases). tRNAs cope with the degeneracy of the genetic code in two manners: having more than one tRNA (with a specific anti-codon) for a particular amino acid; and 'wobble' base-pairing, i.e. permitting non-standard base-pairing at the 3rd anti-codon position. RNAcentral also lists the same sequence under 1 other name. The record is from RNAcentral.
GCCCCCAUCGUCUAGGGGACCAGGACAUCACCCUUUCAAGGUGAAGACGGGGGUUCGAAUCCCCCUGGGGGUACCA